CGCAGGGCGCGAACGAGAGGAGAAGGUUGAGCAUCCCGCCGACGACAUCGUUUCGAGCUCAAGAUGGUCUACAGAUACAUGCAACAAUUGAGGUUUCAUGUGCAAGGAAGCAAAGAAGAUGCGAGACCGUUUUUCUUUUGGAAUAGAAGAAUCAAAGGAUACACCGACCGAUUAAAGGUUAGAAGACAUGCCAAAUAAUGGAUACUUCUCAAUCAAAUGAACAAACAUGCUAUCCGCCGAGCUUCAAGACUGAAGGGAUAGAUAACCACAACUUCUAAUGACCUAUACCAGCGAUUGAUUGUAGCAUACUGGAUUCCUAAUGCUGACAGGAAUAGCCGCCAUGGC
Triticum dicoccoides is the source of this 345-nucleotide long non-coding RNA. RefSeq lists it as uncharacterized. The record is from RefSeq and is a predicted model, not a curated record. Lineage: Eukaryota; Viridiplantae; Streptophyta; Magnoliopsida; Poales; Poaceae. The transcript has 4 exons.